CGUGGCUCGGUGGUUGCACGUCGACCCAUGAACCAGGAGGUCCCGGUUCGACUCCCGGUCAGAGAACAUUCUUGGGUUGUGGGUUCAAUUGUCAGGGCAUGUGAGGAAGGCAACCGAUGAUAUUUAUCUCUCACAUCUCU
Long non-coding RNA from Myotis davidii, 140 nucleotides. RefSeq lists it as uncharacterized. The transcript is spliced from 3 exons. Lineage: Eukaryota; Metazoa; Chordata; Mammalia; Chiroptera; Vespertilionidae. The record is from RefSeq and is a predicted model, not a curated record.